UCUGCUGUUCUCCAAUCCAUGCCACUAUCAACUUCAAUUUCAUGUAGAUCAAUCUUAGCCGGAGCGAUAGGAUUUUUUGAGGUAAAUUUCAGAACUUUUCUAUGAUAGGCAUAUUUGUUUAAGGCCAAAUCAAGAAUCUUCGAGUCGUUUCGUCCGUCCAUUUUUCGCUGAUUGCUGAUCGUUGAUCGAACACCAUUGAAGUAUUGCAAUAGAGUGGCUUGAAGUUCAACAGGGAUGCC
Molecule: long non-coding RNA, 239 nt
Organism: Daphnia pulicaria
Lineage: Eukaryota; Metazoa; Arthropoda; Branchiopoda; Diplostraca; Daphniidae
Exons: 2
Source: RefSeq, a predicted model, not a curated record